Molecule: transfer-messenger RNA, 369 nt
Filed under: Pseudoflavonifractor sp. An184
Lineage: Bacteria; Bacillati; Bacillota; Clostridia; Eubacteriales; Oscillospiraceae
Also listed under: 2 other names
Rfam family: transfer-messenger RNA
About the family: Bacterial tmRNA, also known as 10Sa RNA or SsrA, is named for its dual tRNA and mRNA-like properties. Its role is to liberate the mRNA from a stalled ribosome.
Source: Rfam by way of RNAcentral
GGGGGCGUACCGGUUUCGACGGGGACACGGAAGUGGGAAUAGCGGGCGGUGGCGCCUGGCCACCUUAAAACGGGCACUUCUUUAUAAAUUAAAGAACAACGAAAAUUACGCUUACGCUGCUUAAUUAACAGCAGCCGUCCAACCCGGAAGGACCACGAGCCGGGAUUGGGCGUCGUUUAGUGGUGCACGUGCGCCGGCAAAGCUUUGCGCCGGCCAUGAAUCAUGAAGCUCACCAGACCCCUGGGCGUGACGGCUUGCCCAGGGUGACGGGAACCGGGAGAGCAAGACUCCCGCAAUAACCGUCUGCGCCCGGAGAAGUUCCCAUGGAAGGGUUUUCGGACGGGAGUUCGACUCUCCCCGCCUCCACCA